Long non-coding RNA from Artibeus jamaicensis (Jamaican fruit-eating bat), 419 nucleotides. RefSeq lists it as uncharacterized. The record is from RefSeq and is a predicted model, not a curated record. The transcript is spliced from 3 exons. Lineage: Eukaryota; Metazoa; Chordata; Mammalia; Chiroptera; Phyllostomidae.
AUUUACCUAUGCAGGCAAGAAGUAUUUUAAUUGCAUUAGCCUUAAGUCUGUAAGAGACUGGUGUUCUCUAGAUGAAGAAUAUUUAGGAAGAUGGAAAUACUGUACAAAGAAUGACUAUGCCCCUUGCUUCUUUCCCUUUGUCUAUAAAGGGAGACUGUACUACACUUGCACAACCGAUGGGAGUGUUUUGAUGCAGGCGUGGUGCUCAGUCACUGCCAACUUUGACAAGGAUAGAGCUUGGAAGAAUUGCGUCUGAUACAGGCUGUGGAUUCAGACAAGGCUGUGAAACCGAAGUGUGGAAGAUCAAGACACCUCAAGCUUGAAGACCACAUCCCAAGGGAUGACAUCCUUUCCCUGCAGCUCCAAGUGCCCCCUGCCCAUCAACAAACCACUGUCUCUGCAGGUGUGACGUUGUUAUC